UUUGUAGAAUGAACCGGCGAGUUACGAUUUGUUGCAAGGUUAAGCGGAAAAAGCGGAGCCGUAGCGAAAGCGAGUCUGAAUAGGGCGCAUAAGUAACAGGUCGUAGACCCGAAACCAGGUGAUCUACCCAUGUCCAGGAUGAAGGUAAGGUAAUACUUACUGGAGGUCCGAACCCACGCACGUUGAAAAGUGCGGGGAUGAGGUGUGGGUAGCGGAGAAAUUCCAAUCGAACUUGGAGAUAGCUGGUUCUCUCCGAAAUAGCUUUAGGGCUAGCCUCGAGGUAAAGAGUCAUGGAGGUAGAGCACUGUUUGGACUAGGGGCCCUUCUCGGGUUACCGAAUUCAGAUAAACUCCGAAUGCCAUGUACUUAUACUCGGGAGUCAGACUGCGAGUGAUAAGAUCCGUAGUCGAAAGGGAAACAGCCCAGACCACCAGUUAAGGUCCCCAAAUAUAUGUUAAGUGGAAAAGGAUGUGGGGUUGCUUAGACAACCAGGAUGUUGGCUUAGAAGCAGCCACCAUUGAAAGAGUGCGUAAUAGCUCACUGGUCGAGUGACCCCGCGCCGAAAAUGUACCGGGGCUAAACAUAUUACCGAAACUGUGGAUGAACCUCUUUAGAGGUUCGUGGUAGGAGAGCGUUCUAAGGGCGGUGAAGUCAGACCGGAAGGACUGGUGGAGCGCUUAGAAGUGAGAAUGCCGGUAUGAGUAGCGAAAGAAGGGUGAGAAUCCCUUCCACCGAAUAUCUAAGGUUUCCUGAGGAAGGCUCGUCCGCUCAGGGUUAGUCGGGA
This 784-nucleotide ribosomal RNA is filed under the name Listeria monocytogenes. RNAcentral describes it as "partial 23S ribosomal RNA". It matches the Rfam family "Bacterial large subunit ribosomal RNA", at positions 607 to 1389 of the family's 2925-position model. The record is from RNAcentral. Lineage: Bacteria; Bacillati; Bacillota; Bacilli; Caryophanales; Listeriaceae.